CUACGGAGGGUGCAAGCGUUAAUCGGAAUUACUGGGCGUAAAGCGUACGUAGGCGGUUAUUUAAGUCAGAUGUGAAAGCUCCGGGCUUAACUUGGGAACUGCAUUUGAAACUGGGUAACUAGAGUUUAGUAGAGGGGAGUGGAAUUUCAGGUGUAGCGGUGAAAUGCGUAGAGAUCUGAAGGAACACCAGUGGCGAAGGCGACUCCCUGGACUAAAACUGACGCUGAGGUACGAAAGCGUGGGUAGCAAACAGGAUUAGAAACCCUAGUAGUCC
This 274-nucleotide ribosomal RNA is filed under the name uncultured bacterium. RNAcentral's name for it is "partial 16S ribosomal RNA". It matches the Rfam family "Bacterial small subunit ribosomal RNA", at positions 523 to 796 of the family's 1533-position model. The record is from RNAcentral.